Rhincodon typus (whale shark) is the source of this 577-nucleotide long non-coding RNA. RefSeq lists it as uncharacterized. The record is from RefSeq and is a predicted model, not a curated record. NCBI's taxonomy places the organism in Eukaryota, Metazoa, Chordata, Chondrichthyes, Orectolobiformes, Rhincodontidae. The transcript has 2 exons.
AGUGAAUAUAUUCACGGCAAGUUACAGAUUUUUGAUUGACAAGGGUGUUAAGGGGACAGGCAGAACAGUGAAGUUAAGGCUAAAAUGAAGACCAGAGGAAGUAGGAACAGGAGAAGGAUGAUCAGCUCUUGGAACCUCUUCCACCAUUAUGGCUAAUCCAACAUUCCUUAUGUCUACUUCCUGCCUGUCUCACUGUAACAACACAUUGCAUUUUCCCCCACCCCAUUUCAGCUUAUCAACUGCUGAAACCUUCAUGUUUAUUUCCUUCCAACCAAUUCUCACAUUGUGCAAAUCCUCAGCUUCCAGGGUCAGCAUGUUUUCAAUUUGCUCCCCAAGCCUCUUGCACUCAUCACCAUUGGUUCCUCUAUGCGUCUAGAAACCUCAUCCCUACAACCAAACUGCUGUGCCAAAAUCUCUAACUAUCCCAUGGUCAAUUUUUGAUUGAUCGUGUUCUCAUGAAAGGCUAUGGGGUAUUCUGCUGAACUGAAAGUGACAUAUAAAUGCAGAAUGAUGUAAAUGUCAAUUCUGAAACUUACUUUCCUUUCUCAUGAAUAAAAUUAUGUCUUGUUUGAUUUUU